AAAAUCCUGAAUGUUCUUGUGGCCUUUGUACUUACUGAAUCCUCCUGGCAUGCUGUUCCAUGGCUGGUUAUGUGGCCUCCCUCUAAAGGACGGCCAGUCUCGAACAGUGAGGCAGUUCCAGUUCACUGACUGGCCAGAACAAGGAGUGCCAAAGUCUGGAGAAGGAUUUAUUGACUUCAUCGGCCAAGUCCAUAAAACAAAGGAACAGUUUGGCCAAGAUGGUCCCAUUUCGGUGCAUUGCAGUGCCGGUGUUGGAAGAACUGGAGUCUUUAUAACAUUGAGUAUUGUGUUGGAAAGAAUGAGAUAUGAAGGGGUUGUAGAUAUCUUCCAGACAGUCAAAAUGUUAAGAACACAACGACCAGCCAUGGU
RNAcentral lists this long non-coding RNA (369 nucleotides) under Rattus norvegicus (Norway rat). Its description in RNAcentral is "long non-coding RNA NONRATT023335". The record is from RNAcentral. Lineage: Eukaryota; Metazoa; Chordata; Mammalia; Rodentia; Muridae.